RNAcentral lists this non-coding RNA (98 nucleotides) under Solemya elarraichensis. Its description in RNAcentral is "Glycine sequence". It matches the Rfam family "Glycine riboswitch aptamer". Rfam says of the family: This family represents the bacterial glycine riboswitch. Glycine riboswitches usually consist of two metabolite-binding aptamers domains with similar structures in tandem. RNAcentral also lists the same sequence under 1 other name. The record is from RNAcentral. Lineage: Eukaryota; Metazoa; Mollusca; Bivalvia; Solemyida; Solemyidae.
CAGGUUGACUCUGGAGGGCGGUCUUAGGGCCCACCGACGGGGCAGAGCCUGCACAGAGUGCGGCUUUAAACUCUCAGGUUUUGGACAGAGGGGCGGCG